UACAGAGGGUGCAAGCGUUGUUCGGAUUCAUUGGGCGUAAAGAGCGUGUAGGCGGCCAUGCAGGUCCGUUGUGAAAACUCGAGCUCAACCUCGAGACGCCGAUGGAAACCGCAUGGCUAGAGUCCGGAAGAGGAGAGUGGAAUUCCUGGUGUAGCGGUGAAAUGCGCAGAUAUCAGGAAGAACACCCGUGGCUAAGGCGGCUCUCUAGUACGGUACUGACGCUGAGACGCGAAAGCGUGGGGAGCAAACAGG
Molecule: ribosomal RNA, 252 nt
Filed under: uncultured bacterium
Lineage: Bacteria
Description: partial 16S ribosomal RNA
Rfam family: Bacterial small subunit ribosomal RNA
Source: RNAcentral